Molecule: long non-coding RNA, 3104 nt
Organism: Hemibagrus wyckioides
Lineage: Eukaryota; Metazoa; Chordata; Actinopteri; Siluriformes; Bagridae
Exons: 3
Source: RefSeq, a predicted model, not a curated record
CCUAUUAUAGUAUAUUAUUUGUAAGUUAUGUUUCUUUCAUAUAGAUGCAUAUAUUUUCCUAACACAAUGGCCUCUAACCUGUAUUCACAGAACCUGAUGUUCCAAGAGACCUCAGAGUGACUGAAAUUACAACAAGCUCAUUGUUUCUGAACUGGACUCAACCUGUAGGAGAAAGAUAUUUCUUUAAAGUACAGUGGAGAAAUGACACCAUAACAUUGAAUUCAACAACCACAAACACUUUCUUUAACAUUACUGAUCUGAAUCCUGGAGUCAGUUACACCAUCCUGAUAUCUGCUGUUGCUGCAGAUAAUAUAACAGAAGGAGAAGGAAUUAGUCUUUCAGUCUAUACAAAGCCUGACACUGUUAGCAACUUUAUAGCAGUUAAUGUUACAACCACCUCUAUAUUACUGGAUUGGACUAAGGCAAUGGGGAUUAUUUCCUAUUACGUAAUCCAAUAUGACAAUUUCAUUAUGACAGUCAAUAAGACUACUGAAAUCACCUGGAUUAACAUAACUAAUCUGACUCCUGGAGUACAGUACACAUUCAAAGUGUUUGCAGUUGCUGCAGAUAAUAAAACAGAAGGAAAUUACAGCUGCAUUUCUACCUACACAAGUAAGACAUGAGUUAUCAUAAGUAAUUUGGUAUUAUGGCUGCAUGCUAGUGCAGCAGGUAGAAUUGCAUGAUGUCCACACUUCUAUGCUGUGUUCAGGGUACUUUCUUUAAGGAGUUUAUACCUGGAGCCUCUGCCAUAUUGUACCCUUUUUUGCACAGGCUUCAGAUUCACUGUGAAAUUCAUUAUUUACUGUUUGUUUCAUAUUAAUUUUUGUCACUUUCUGACACAAUGGCCUCUAACCUGUAUUCACAGAACCUGAUGUUCCAAGAGACCUCAGAGUGACUGAAAUUACAACAAGCUCAUUGUUUCUGAACUGGACUCAACCUAUAGGAGAAAGAUAUUUCUUUAAAGUACAAUGGAGUAAUGACACCAUAACAUUGAAGUCAACAACCACAAACACUUUCUUUAACAUUACUGAUCUGAAUGCUGGAGUCAAUUACACCAUCCUGAUAUCUGCUGUUGCUGCAGAUAAUAUAACAGAAGGAAAUUACAGCUGCAUUUCAGCCUACACAAGUAAGACAUGAGUUAGAAACAUUGCCAGAACAUCAUAAGUAAUUUUGUAUUAUGUCAGCAGGUGGUGCAGCAGGUAGCGUUGCAUGGUGUCCACAGUUCCACGCAGUGUUCAGGGUACUGUCAUUGCGGAGUUUCUCUGCAUGUUUCCCAAUGUAUUUAUGGGGCUUGUUUCCAGGUUUUUCCUGUUCAUACUCACCUCCCAAAACUGUCAGUGGAUUGACUGGCUAAUCUAAAUUGCCACUGUUUGUGAAAGUGUGUGUACAUGGUGCCCUAGAGUUGAGUGUCAUCCAAUAGAUUGUGUAUUCCUAUUUUCGACCUGUUUUUUCCUGUACAGGCUUCAGAUCCUCUUUGAACCUGUCCUGGUUUAAGUGAUUAUUGAACUUGACUGAAGGCAUGAAAUUUGUUAUUAGCUGUUUGUUUCGUUUUGGUUUUUGUCAAUUACUGACUCAAUGGCCUCUAACCUGUAUUCACAGAACCUGAUGUUCCAAGAGACCUCAGAGUGGCUGAAAUUACAACAAGCUCAUUGUUUCUGAACUGGACUCAACCUGUAGGAGAAAGAUAUUUCUUUAAAGUACAGUGGAGUAAUGACAACAUAACAUUGAAUUCAACAACCACAAACACUUUCUUUAACAUUACUGAUCUGAAUCCUGGAGUCAAUUACACCAUCCUGAUAUCUGCUGUUGCUGCAGAUAAUAUAACAGAAGGAGAAGGAAUUAGUCUUUCAGUCUAUACAAAGCCUGACACUGUUAGCAACUUUAUAGCAGUUAAUGUUACAACCACCUCUAUAUUACUGGAUUGGACUAAGGCAAUGGGGAUUAUUUCCUAUUACGUAAUCCAAUAUGACAAUUUCAUUAUGACAGUCAAUAAGACUACUGAAAUCACCUGGAUUAACAUAACUAAUCUGACUCCUGGAGUACAGUACACAUUCAAAGUGUUUGCAGUUGCUGCAGAUAAUAAAACAGAAGGAAAUUACAGCUGCAUUUCUACCUACACAAGUAAGACAUGAGUUAUCAUAAGUAAUUUGGUAUUAUGGCUGCAUGCUGGUGCAGCAGGUAGAAUUGCAUGAUGUCCACACUUCUAUGCUGUGUUCAGGGUACUUUCUUUAAGGAGUUUAUACCUGGAGCCUCUGCCAUAUUGUACACUUUUUUGCACAGGCUUCAGAUCCACUGUGAAAUUCAUUAUUUACUGUUUGUUUCAUAUUAAUUUUUGUCACUUUCUGACACAAUGGCCUCUAACCUGUAUUCACAGAACCUGAUGUUCCAAGAGACCUCAGAGUGACUGAAAUUACAACAAGCUCAUUGUUUCUGAACUGGACUCAACCUGUAGGAGAAAGAGAUUUCUUUAAAGUACAGUGGAGUAAUGACACCAUAACAUUGAAGUCAACAACCACAAACACUUUCUUUUACAUUACUGAUCUGAAUCCUGGAGUCACUUACACCAUCCUGAUAUCUGCUGUUGCUGCAGAUAAUAUAACAGAAGGAAAUUACAGCUGCAUUUCAGCCUACACAAGUAAGACAUGAGUUAGAAACAUUGCCAGAACAUCAUAAGUAAUUUUGUAUUAUGUCAGCAGGUGGUGCAGCAGGUAGCGUUGCAUGGUGUCCACAGUUCCACGCUGUGUUCAGGGUACUGUCAUUGCGGAGUUUCUCUGCAUGUUUCCCAAUGUAUUUAUGGGGCUUUUUUCCAGGUUUUUCCUGUUCAUACUCACCUCCCAAAACUGUCAGUGGAUUGACUGGCUAAUCUAAAUUGCCACUGUUUGUGAAAGUGUGUGUACAUGGUGCCUUAGAGUUGAGUGUCAUCCAAUAGAUUGUGUAUUCCUAUUUUCGACCUGUUUUUUCCUGUACAGGCUUCAGAUCCUCUUUGAACCUGUCCUGGUUUAAGUGAUCAUUGAACUUGACUGAAGGCAUGAAAUUUGUUAUUAGCUGUUUGUUUCGUUUUGGUUUUUGUCAAUUACUGACUCAAUGGCCUCUAACCUGUAACA